RNAcentral lists this ribosomal RNA (730 nucleotides) under uncultured archaeon. RNAcentral describes it as "bacterial SSU rRNA". It matches the Rfam family "Archaeal small subunit ribosomal RNA", at positions 379 to 1108 of the family's 1478-position model. The record is from RNAcentral.
AUCCGAGUGGUUUCUGCUAAAGAAACCUUUUGUCAGUCCUAGAAACACUAACGAAUAAGGGGUGGGCAAGUUCUGGUGUCAGCCGCCGCGGUAAAACCAGCACCUCAAGUGGUCAGGAUGAUUAUUGGGCCUAAAGCAUCCGUAGCUCGUUUUGUAAGUUUUCGGUUAAAUCCAUGCGCUUAACGUAUGGGCUGCCGGGAAUACUGCAUAACUAGGAAGUGGGAGAGGUAGACGGUACUCGGUAGGAAGGGGUAAAAUCCUUUGAUCUAUUGAUGACCACCUGUGGCGAAGGCGGUCUACCAGAACACGUUCGACGGUGAGGGAUGAAAGCUGGGGGAGCAAACCGGAUUAGAUACCCGGGUAGUCCCAGCUGUAAACUAUGCAAACUCAGUGAUGCAUUGGCUUAUGGCCAAUGCAGUGCUGCAGGGAAGCCGUUAAGUUUGCCGCCUGGGAAGUACGUACGCAAGUAUGAAACUUAAAGGAAUUGGCGGGGGAGCACCACAAGGGGUGAAGCCUGCGGUUCAAUUGGAGUCAACGCCAGAAAUCUUACCCGGAGAGACAGCAGAAUGAAGGUCAAGCUGAAGACUUUACCAGACAAGCUGAGAGGAGGUGCAUGGCCGUCGCCAGCUCGUGCCGUGAGGUGUCCUGUUAAGUCAGGUAACGAGCGAGAUCCCUGCCUCUAGUUGCCACCAUUACUCUCAGGAGUAGUGGGGCGAAUUAGCGGGACCGC